GUACCAGGUAUAUUGCUAGCCCCCCAAUGGCUGCAUUGAUUGCCAGGGUUGAUUCGGCUGUUUGGGCCAGCUAGGUGGGUGUCUCCUUCCUUCCUUAGCACUCCAUGUCUAUCUCUCCCAAAGCUGCAUGCUCAAUCAAAGUGGACAACCUUCCCCGCAUAGAGGAGGACCGAUCUUCAGUCAAGGGUAUAUAUAUAUAUAGUAGCUAUGUUCCCUUGCCAGAACCUACAAACAAGCUCCCAAGGUCUAUUUAUUCUAUUUCCAUGAUGACUAGCAACAAGAUUUUCACUGAGAUUGCAUUGAUUCU
This 307-nucleotide small nuclear RNA is filed under the name Microtus ochrogaster (prairie vole). RNAcentral describes it as "7SK RNA (ENSMOCG00000007011.1)". It matches the Rfam family "7SK RNA". Rfam says of the family: 7SK was discovered as an abundant small nuclear RNA in the mid-70s but a possible function has only recently been suggested. Two independent studies have found that 7SK RNA binds the CDK9/cyclin T complex (known as elongation factor P-TEFb). The record is from RNAcentral. Lineage: Eukaryota; Metazoa; Chordata; Mammalia; Rodentia; Cricetidae.